This 2483-nucleotide ribosomal RNA is filed under the name human gut metagenome. RNAcentral describes it as "bacterial LSU rRNA". It matches the Rfam family "Bacterial large subunit ribosomal RNA", at positions 14 to 2523 of the family's 2925-position model. The record is from RNAcentral.
AGCGUACACGGUGGAUGCCCUGGCAGUCAGAGGCGAUGAAGGACGUGCUAAUCUGCGAUAAGCGUCGGUAAGGUGAUAUGAACCGUUAUAACCGGCGAUUUCCGAAUGGGGAAACCCAGUGUGAUUCGUCACACUAUCAUUAACUGAAUCCAUAGGUUAAUGAGGCGAACCGGGGGAACUGAAACAUCUAAGUACCCCGAGGAAAAGAAAUCAACCGAGAUUCCCCCAGUAGCGGCGAGCGAACGGGGAGCAGCCCAGAGCCUGAAUCAGUGUGUGUGUUAGUGGAAGCGUCUGGAAAGGCGCGCGAUACAGGGUGACAGCCCCGUACACAAAAAUGCACAUGCUGUGAGCUCGAUGAGUAGGGCGGGACACGUGGUAUCCUGUCUGAAUAUGGGGGGACCAUCCUCCAAGGCUAAAUACUCCUGACUGACCGAUAGUGAACCAGUACCGUGAGGGAAAGGCGAAAAGAACCCCGGCGAGGGGAGUGAAAAAGAACCUGAAACCGUGUACGUACAAGCAGUGGGAGCACGCUUAGGCGUGUGACUGCGUACCUUUUGUAUAAUGGGUCAGCGACUUAUAUUCUGUAGCAAGGUUAACCGAAUAGGGGAGCCGAAGGGAAACCGAGUCUUAACUGGGCGUUAAGUUGCAGGGUAUAGACCCGAAACCCGGUGAUCUAGCCAUGGGCAGGUUGAAGGUUGGGUAACACUAACUGGAGGACCGAACCGACUAAUGUUGAAAAAUUAGCGGAUGACUUGUGGCUGGGGGUGAAAGGCCAAUCAAACCGGGAGAUAGCUGGUUCUCCCCGAAAGCUAUUUAGGUAGCGCCUCGUGAAUUCAUCUCCGGGGGUAGAGCACUGUUUCGGCAAGGGGGUCAUCCCGACUUACCAACCCGAUGCAAACUGCGAAUACCGGAGAAUGUUAUCACGGGAGACACACGGCGGGUGCUAACGUCCGUCGUGAAGAGGGAAACAACCCAGACCGCCAGCUAAGGUCCCAAAGUCAUGGUUAAGUGGGAAACGAUGUGGGAAGGCCCAGACAGCCAGGAUGUUGGCUUAGAAGCAGCCAUCAUUUAAAGAAAGCGUAAUAGCUCACUGGUCGAGUCGGCCUGCGCGGAAGAUGUAACGGGGCUAAACCAUGCACCGAAGCUGCGGCAGCGACACUAUGUGUUGUUGGGUAGGGGAGCGUUCUGUAAGCCUGUGAAGGUGUACUGUGAGGUAUGCUGGAGGUAUCAGAAGUGCGAAUGCUGACAUAAGUAACGAUAAAGCGGGUGAAAAGCCCGCUCGCCGGAAGACCAAGGGUUCCUGUCCAACGUUAAUCGGGGCAGGGUGAGUCGACCCCUAAGGCGAGGCCGAAAGGCGUAGUCGAUGGGAAACAGGUUAAUAUUCCUGUACUUGGUGUUACUGCGAAGGGGGGACGGAGAAGGCUAUGUUGGCCGGGCGACGGUUGUCCCGGUUUAAGCGUGUAGGCUGGUUUUCCAGGCAAAUCCGGAAAAUCAAGGCUGAGGCGUGAUGACGAGGCACUACGGUGCUGAAGCAACAAAUGCCCUGCUUCCAGGAAAAGCCUCUAAGCAUCAGGUAACAUCAAAUCGUACCCCAAACCGACACAGGUGGUCAGGUAGAGAAUACCAAGGCGCUUGAGAGAACUCGGGUGAAGGAACUAGGCAAAAUGGUGCCGUAACUUCGGGAGAAGGCACGCUGAUAUGUAGGUGAAGCGACUUGCUCGUGGAGCUGAAAUCAGUCGAAGAUACCAGCUGGCUGCAACUGUUUAUUAAAAACACAGCACUGUGCAAACACGAAAGUGGACGUAUACGGUGUGACGCCUGCCCGGUGCCGGAAGGUUAAUUGAUGGGGUCAGCGCAAGCGAAGCUCUUGAUCGAAGCCCCGGUAAACGGCGGCCGUAACUAUAACGGUCCUAAGGUAGCGAAAUUCCUUGUCGGGUAAGUUCCGACCUGCACGAAUGGCGUAAUGAUGGCCAGGCUGUCUCCACCCGAGACUCAGUGAAAUUGAACUCGCUGUGAAGAUGCAGUGUACCCGCGGCAAGACGGAAAGACCCCGUGAACCUUUACUAUAGCUUGACACUGAACAUUGAGCCUUGAUGUGUAGGAUAGGUGGGAGGCUUUGAAGUGUGGACGCCAGUCUGCAUGGAGCCGACCUUGAAAUACCACCCUUUAAUGUUUGAUGUUCUAACGUUGACCCGUAAUCCGGGUUGCGGACAGUGUCUGGUGGGUAGUUUGACUGGGGCGGUCUCCUCCUAAAGAGUAACGGAGGAGCACGAAGGUUGGCUAAUCCUGGUCGGACAUCAGGAGGUUAGUGCAAUGGCAUAAGCCAGCUUGACUGCGAGCGUGACGGCGCGAGCAGGUGCGAAAGCAGGUCAUAGUGAUCCGGUGGUUCUGAAUGGAAGGGCCAUCGCUCAACGGAUAAAAGGUACUCCGGGGAUAACAGGCUGAUACCGCCCAAGAGUUCAUAUCGACGGCGGUGUUUGGCA